Chinchilla lanigera (long-tailed chinchilla) is the source of this 1259-nucleotide long non-coding RNA. RefSeq lists it as uncharacterized. Lineage: Eukaryota; Metazoa; Chordata; Mammalia; Rodentia; Chinchillidae. The record is from RefSeq and is a predicted model, not a curated record. The transcript is spliced from 3 exons.
AUGAAGUCAAUAUCUGACUGUAGAAGAAAUUCAUUUCCGGAUACUGUUGUGAUCUGGAAAAAAAUCGACAGGUCCUUGAAGGUGGAGGAAGGAAGAUGGAAGCUCCAGACACCAUGCAUAAGAGAUUGACUUCCAGUACACGUGGAGAGAUUACCAAAAAUGCAAAAGAUGAUGAGUGCCAUGGGCUCCUCUUUCUUUGGUGCAUCACCCUUCAAACUGAAGACUAAAUCCUAUGUGUAAUUCCAUGUUUGAGGGACUGAGAGGACAUGUUCACAAUAGAACGUUCCCCGAACUAUCAACAACAGAUUAAGCAUCCAUAAAGGAUGAGGCACACUGUUAGAAGCUAGGCAGACAUAAACCCCACCCGCAAGAGCUCACAAUCUGUUUGGAUAAGUAGGACAUAUGCACAUAAAGAUAAAUAACAACAGAAAAUAGCUUUUACUAAGUCUCAAUGUGAGUGGCAUAGACAAUGCUCAUGUCAAGAUUUCAUAGGAAGGAAUAAUUACUGCAGUCACAUUUACAUCAUGGAAUUAUGUGUAAACUGUUGUUCAUGAUAUGUUAUUCUUUAAAUGUUGAUUGUAUCAGAACUUUAGUAUAUUAAGGAUAUGGAUACUACCACUUGGUAUGCAAAGUGCUAUCAGCUUUAAUGAUCUCAAAGCACAUAAUAAACAUUUUCCAAAUGUGGCUUCCCUCCACUAUCAUAAAGUAAUUUGCAAAUGAAGAAAAUGAAGCAAAUGAGAAAAGUGAGAAUGGCAUCCUAUCAAAUUGGUAUCAUUUAGAAUAAGAGAAUUAAAAGAUUACAAAGAUCUCAAUGUCUAGUUCACUAGUCCUCAGCAAACAGUCCUAUACUGUUAAGACUCUAUGUGUGUAUAUGGCCAAAGGGCAAUAAUGAUUUGGUUUGAGUUGUGAAAUAUGGAAUAGUGACUUUAUAUAAAAUUGUUUUCAAAUUGUUAUGCUACAGAUAGAACAGUUUAAAAAAACAUAUACCACCCCGAUUGCUCUUCUUCUGCCUCUUCCAUUCCUCCCUCCCCCUUUCUCUUUCUUCCCUUUCCUUUCUUUUCUCUUCAUUCCCAAUACACCUAAUCUCCUACAAUGAAAAAGCACAUUUAAAGCAGAGCUGAAAUAUAAUAACUUCUAAUCCUAGAAAGGCCUAAAACAGUCCUACAUUUAAACCAAUAUCUUUCACAUUUUCCUUAAAAUCAGUCCUUUACUAAGACCCUAAGGAAAAGUUAUUCCUUCUUUUUUUUUGUUGUUUUUUG